Molecule: ribosomal RNA, 610 nt
Filed under: fungal sp. FSU 10220
Lineage: Eukaryota; Fungi
Description: eukaryotic LSU rRNA
Rfam family: Eukaryotic large subunit ribosomal RNA
Source: RNAcentral
GUGAAGAGGAAGAGCUCAAAGUUGGAACCUGUUUGGCUUAGCUAAACCGGAUUGUAAACUGUAGAAGUGUUUUCCAGACACGCCUGGUAAAAAAGUCCUUUGGAACAGGGCAUCAUAGAGGGUGAGAAUCCCGUCUUUGGCCAGAGCUGUUGUCUUUUGUGAUACAUUUUCAAAGAGUCAGGUUGUUUGGGAAUGCAGCCUAAAUUGGGUGGUAAAUCUCACCUAAAGCUAAAUAUUUGCGAGAGACCGAUAGCGAACAAGUACCGUGAGGGAAAGAUGAAAAGAACUUUGAAAAGAGAGUUAAACAGUAUGUGAAAUUGUUAAAAGGGAACCGUUUGGAGCCAGACUGGCUUGACUGUAAUCAAUCUAGGCUUCGGCCUGGAUGCACUUGCGGUUUAUGCCUGCCAACGACAAUUUUUUUUGAGGGAAAAAACUAUUAGGAAUGUGGCCCCUCUCGGGGGGUGUUAUAGCCUUUUAGAAAAUACCUUGAAUUGGAUUGAGGAACGCAGUGAAUGCCUUUAGGCAAGAUUGCUGGGCGCUUUCGCUAAUAAAUGCUAGAAUUUCUGCUUCGGGUGGUGCUAGUGUUUAAAGGAGAAACUCGUCUGGUAUA